This 463-nucleotide ribosomal RNA is filed under the name uncultured Rhodocyclaceae bacterium. Its description in RNAcentral is "bacterial SSU rRNA". It matches the Rfam family "Bacterial small subunit ribosomal RNA", at positions 920 to 1382 of the family's 1533-position model. The record is from RNAcentral. Lineage: Bacteria; Pseudomonadati; Pseudomonadota; Betaproteobacteria; Rhodocyclales; Rhodocyclaceae.
CCCGCACAAGCGGUGGAGCAUGUGGUUUAAUUCGACGCAACGCGAAGAACCUUACCUACCCUUGACAUGUCCGGAAUCCCGAAGAGAUUUGGGAGUGCUCGCAAGAGAACCGGAACACAGGUGCUGCAUGGCUGUCGUCAGCUCGUGUCGUGAGAUGUUGGGUUAAGUCCCGCAACGAGCGCAACCCUUGUCAUUAGUUGCCAUCAUUUGGUUGGGCACUCUAAUGAGACUGCCGGUGACAAACCGGAGGAAGGUGGGGAUGACGUCAAGUCCUCAUGGCCCUUAUGGGUAGGGCUUCACACGUCAUGCAAUGGUCGGUACAGAGGGUUGCCAACCCGCGAGGGGGAGCUAAUCCCACAAAGCCGAUCGUAGUCCGGAUCGCAGUCUGCAACUCGACUGCGUGAGGUCGGAAUCGCUAGUAAUCGUGGAUCAGCAUGUCACGGUGAAUACGUUCCCGGGUCUU